UUAAGUUCAGCGGGUAGUCCUACCUGAUUUGAGAUCGAACGUUAAAAAAGCUGUCCUCACCGAGGAGAGACGUCUAUGAGCCCCAGCGAACCUCCACUGCUGGAGGUUACCUGGUGGACAAUCGCAAGCGUAGAUAGUUAUCACACCCGUGAUGCCACCAAACACUGGCAAGCUGAUUCAUUUGAGAGGAGCCGACCGUA
RNAcentral lists this unclassified non-coding RNA (200 nucleotides) under Thelephoraceae sp. RNAcentral's name for it is "partial internal transcribed spacer 2". Lineage: Eukaryota; Fungi; Basidiomycota; Agaricomycetes; Thelephorales; Thelephoraceae. The record is from RNAcentral.